Molecule: long non-coding RNA, 2023 nt
Organism: Myotis lucifugus (little brown bat)
Lineage: Eukaryota; Metazoa; Chordata; Mammalia; Chiroptera; Vespertilionidae
Exons: 4
Source: RefSeq, a predicted model, not a curated record
UCCGUUUCACCCGGUUUUAGGAUGUAAUAGUUGUAACACUAUAAUCCAGGCUUUGCAUAUGUUUGUUUCCCUAACUAGAUUGUAAGCUUUGAAGUGUCAGGGACAGCUCUAGUCCCCAGAGUGCCUGGCCCUAGUACUGCCACAAAGUAGAUGCUUAGUAAGUCCUCACUGAUCUAGUAGAAACCUGUAUUCUCUGGGUGCUCACCUGUUUCUUUCUUUUUAAAAAAAAUUGUUUUCAUCUACUCAGUUUGUUUCAGAAAGUGAGGACGAGGCAGAUCCUGAGUACUAAUAUCCUCCCCAUGUAAGGGUCAAUUCCAACUUUCAGCAUUGCCUUCAGCAGUAGUUCAUUUAUUCAUUUGUUCUCGUAUUUAGUCAGUCAUUCAACAAGAGGGGAAUAGCGAAGUAUCCACCUUAAGCCAAGGAGUCAGCAUGGGCUUUGGAUCUUGCUUAUAAUCUUAGAUCUGUCAUUUACUGGCCAUGCUGGUUUGGAAAAGUUACCUAAUCUCUCUCCUCUUUAAUUUCCACAUCCAUAAAAUGAAGGCAAUGACAUCUACUUAAUAACAACGUUUACCGAGUGCUCACAAUGUGCCAGGCGCUAUCAUCUCAUUCCCGUUUUACAGAUGCGGAAAUUGACACAUGGGGACAGUAAGGAUGCAUAGGUAGGACAUGUAGAACCAGGACCUGGUCAUAGGCAACCCAGUCCCUUAUUCUCAGUGCUGUGAUUUAAUAAUUCGCAUUUUCAGUGUCUGCUGUGUGCCAGUCAUGCUACAUAGGAUCCUUACACAUAGUUUUGUGUUGAUCACUGCCAGCCACACCUGUGGCUGAGAAUAAGGGCUCUGGGACUGGAUUCUCCUAACCAGGCCACAUUUAGUCAGCCAGGGAACCUGAAAACACGAGGAUUUUUAACAUUUGCCAAGUGGAGGAAUUACUGCACCGCAGGUUUCAGCCACAAGAGGGCAGCAGGUCCUUCUUUCCACGUGGCCCCGGAAAGACCAGCAGGCUCUCUCCUCAGGCGUCCCCUGGAUCCCUGGAGUUUCCCUGUUGUAAAUCACAAACGCACUUCUUUGGCAAAGGGCAGCCAGCCAGGUUGGGGUGAGACCGGGGAGCAGUUCUGCAAAUUAAGUCUAGUAUCGGAAAGAUAAAAGACCAGGACUAAAACGAAAUUGGAUUCUAAGAAAGUAAAUAUUUUAUGAAAAACUGAAAAUAUAUCCCUGUCCUAGUUUAAGUUGCCUCCGGGCAAGCUGUAAGAUGAUUUUAAAAACUCAUUUGUAAGGCUCCUGUGUUAGACCAGCAUUUCCUGGAGUUCUUGCAAAGUUUCAGUUCAUUUUGCUCCUGUUUAAGAAGCCCUUACUCAGGAGAGACCUGGUUGUGGAAGUUUCCAGAAAGCCCAGCCAAGCCAUACACUAAUUUUUUUUUCUUUUUUCUGGAGAGGAUGAAAUAACCAGAACUGUCAUGUGUCUACUGAAUGAAGAGCAUCAGCCUGGGCACCUUCCGGCAGGCGGGUUGCAGGGUGACUGACCAGGGUCACUGAACAAAAGAGAAUCAUUUCUGGAGGGAGCCCGGGUACCAGGAGCUCAAUGCGGACGCCUGGUUGCUAACAGUCAGUGUUUGCGCACUGGGGGCCGCACAUCAUUCUCGCUGGACGCCAGUUGCCUAGAAUCUAUUUUAAUUACACAUCACAGUAAAUAGAUCCUGCAAGAGCUGCCAACACCCACUGGUGCUCGUGCUUGUCUCUGGAUCCGUCUCCUCUCUGCCUCCUUGUCCCCAAGGCUCUUGGUACGGACGUGGGGAGAGCCAGCUAUAGACGGAGGACUAGGAAGCGAAGGAAGACAGCUGCAGCUCCUGGCAACCACCAUUCUACUUUGGGUAUGAAUUUGACUACUCUAGGAAUCUCAUAUAAGAAUAAUCAUACAUUUGUCCUCCGGUGACUGGCUGAUUUCACUUAACAUAAUGUCUCUUCAAGGUUCAUCUAUGUUGUAGCAUUGCCUCACUGUUGUUUAAUUAAACUAUUUUCAUAAGUGUG